Non-coding RNA from Immersiella caudata, 77 nucleotides. The record is from the annotation of a GenBank genome assembly. NCBI's taxonomy places the organism in Eukaryota, Fungi, Ascomycota, Sordariomycetes, Sordariales, Lasiosphaeriaceae.
GGCGUGGUGGCAGAGUGGUCUGAUGCGCAAGACUAGAAAUCUUGUUCAAGAAUGCUGUUCAAAUCAGGCCCACGUCG